Molecule: ribosomal RNA, 401 nt
Filed under: uncultured bacterium
Lineage: Bacteria
Description: bacterial SSU rRNA
Rfam family: Bacterial small subunit ribosomal RNA
Source: RNAcentral
AUUGAACGCUGGCGGCAUGCCUUACACAUGCAAGUCGAACGGCAGCACGGGUGCUUGCACCUGGUGGCGAGUGGCGAACGGGUGAGUAAUACAUCGGAACGUACCUUAUCGUGGGGGAUAACGCAGCGAAAGCUGUGCUAAUACCGCAUACGCCCUAAGGGGGAAAGCGGGGGAUCGAAAGACCUCGCGCGAUUAGAGCGGCCGAUGCCUGAUUAGCUUGUUGGUGGGGUAAAAGCCCACCAAGGCGACGAUCAGUAGCUGGUCUGAGAGGACGAUCACGCCACACUGGGACUGAGACACGGCCCCAGACUCCUACGGGAGGCAGCAGUGGGGAAUUUUGGACAAUGGGGGAAACCCUGAUCCAGCAAUGCCGCGUGAGUGAAGAAGGCCUCGGUUGUAAG